Molecule: ribosomal RNA, 253 nt
Filed under: uncultured bacterium
Lineage: Bacteria
Description: partial 16S ribosomal RNA
Rfam family: Bacterial small subunit ribosomal RNA
Source: RNAcentral
UACGUAGGGCGCAAGCGUUGUCCGGAAUUACUGGGCGUAAAGGGCUCGUAGGCGGCCAACUAAGUCGGAUGUGAAAUCCCCAAGCUUAACUUGGGAACUGCAUCCGAUACUGGAUGGCUUGAAUCCGGGAGAGGGAUGCAGAAUUCCAGGUGUAGCGGUGAAAUGCGUAGAUAUCUGGAGGAAUACCGGUGGCGAAGGCGGCAUCCUGGACCGGCAUUGACGCUGAGGAGCGAAAGCUAGGGGAGCAAACAGG